This 260-nucleotide long non-coding RNA is filed under the name Ananas comosus (pineapple). RNAcentral's name for it is "long non-coding RNA (ACOM_LNC018580)". Lineage: Eukaryota; Viridiplantae; Streptophyta; Magnoliopsida; Poales; Bromeliaceae. The record is from RNAcentral.
UAGGCCAAUAUUCAAUACUAUGGUGGCAGGUUCUGUUCGAUUGAGUCACAUUUGAAAUGACAGGAGAUUGAGUUAGGUCGAGUUAUGUUCAAAAUAGCAUGAAACUGAUUUGGUCGACUUACAAUUAAUCGAGACCCACGAACUCUGUAUAUGUACGUUUUAAUUGAAUUGGUUAUAUUUUUUUAAUGACUCGAGUUUUUAAGAUUAAUGGUUAGUACUAAUGAUCCGAUACCUAUAAGUAAUUUUCACAUUAAAAGUAA